AACUAUUAAAGAAUUUCGGUCAUCGAUGGGGAUGCGUUCCAUUAGGUUGUUGGCGGGGUAACGGCCCACCAAGCCUUCGAUGGAUAGGGGUUCUGAGAGGAAGGUCCCCCACAUUGGAACUGAGACACGGUCCAAACUCCUACGGGAGGCAGCAGUGAGGAAUAUUGGUCAAUGGACGAGAGUCUGAACCAGCCAAGUAGCGUGAAGGAUGACUGCCCUAUGGGUUGUAAACUUCUUUUAUACGGGAAUAAAGUGAGGCACGCGUGCCUUUUUGUAUGUACCGUAUGAAUAAGGAUCGGCUAACUCCGUGCCAGCAGCCGCGGUAAUACGGAGGAUCCGAGCGUUAUCCGGAUUUAUUGGGUUUAAAGGGAGCGUAGGCGGACGCUUAAGUCAGUUGUGAAAGUUUGCGGCUCAACCGUAAAAUUGCAGUUGAUACUGGGUGUCUUGAGUACAGUA
Molecule: ribosomal RNA, 456 nt
Filed under: uncultured bacterium
Lineage: Bacteria
Description: bacterial SSU rRNA
Rfam family: Bacterial small subunit ribosomal RNA
Source: RNAcentral